GCCUUCGUAGCUCAGUUGGUUAGAGCAGCUGACUCUUAAUCAGCGGGUCCUCGGUUCGAGUCCGAGCGAGGGUA
RNAcentral lists this transfer RNA (74 nucleotides) under Phycisphaerae bacterium. Its description in RNAcentral is "tRNA-Lys". It matches the Rfam family "tRNA". Rfam says of the family: Transfer RNA (tRNA) molecules are approximately 80 nucleotides in length. Their secondary structure includes four short double-helical elements and three loops (D, anti-codon, and T loops). The record is from RNAcentral. Lineage: Bacteria; Pseudomonadati; Planctomycetota; Phycisphaerae. RNAcentral also lists the same sequence under 1 other name.